Molecule: ribosomal RNA, 497 nt
Filed under: Leptopelis argenteus (Bagamoyo forest treefrog)
Lineage: Eukaryota; Metazoa; Chordata; Amphibia; Anura; Arthroleptidae
Description: partial 12S ribosomal RNA
Rfam family: Bacterial small subunit ribosomal RNA
Source: RNAcentral
CCUCAGCCGUAAAACAUUAACCUACACCAUAAGCCGCCCGAGAACUACGAGCACUCGCUUAAAACUCAAAGGACUUGACGGUGUCCCACCCAACUAGAGGAGCCUGUUCUAUAAUCGACAAUCCCCGCUAUACCUCACCACUCCUAGCUUAUCAGUCUGUAUACCUCCGUCGAAAGCUUACCCUGUGAACGAUCAUUAGUAAGCCACAUGGUCUAUCCACCAAAACGUCAGGUCAAGGUGCAACUUACGAAGUGGCAAGUAAUGGGCUACAAUUUCUAAACUAGAAUAAACGAAAAGAUCUGCAUGAAACACAGUCAUGAGGGCGGAUUUAGCAGUAAAAAGAAAAUAGAGAGUUCUUUUUAACCCGGCACUGGGACGUGUACACACCGCCCGUCAUCCUCUUCGACUAACACACUAAUAGUUUAUAACACCCCCCAUAUAAAGAGAAGAGGCAAGUCGUAACAUGGUAAGUAUACUGGAAAGUGUACUUGGAUUAA